GACGAACGCUGGCGGCGUGCUUAACACAUGCAAGUCGAACGGUGAAGCGCCUUCCUUUUUGGUGGGUGUGGAUGAGUGGCGAACGGGUGAGUAACACGUGAGUAACCUGCCCCCUUCUUCUGGAUAACCGCAUGAAAGUGUGGCUAAUACGGGAUAUUCUGGGUCUGUCGCAUGAUGGGUCUGGGAAAGAUAUUGUUUCGGUGGGGGAUGGGCUCGCGGCCUAUCAGCUUGUUGGUGGGGUGAUGGCCUACCAAGGCGGUGACGGGUAGCCGGCCUGAGAGGGUGGGCGAUCACACUGGGACUGAAACACGGCCCAUACUCCUACGGGAGGCAGCAGUGGAGAAUAUUGCACGAUGGGCGCAAGCCUGAUGCAGCGACGCCGCGGGAAGGAUGGAGUCCUUCGGGUUGAAAACCGCUUUCGCCAGUGAAGCAAGCCUGCCUCGUUUGUGGGUGGAUUGACGGUAGCUGGAUAAGAAGCGCCGGCUAACUACGUG
Molecule: ribosomal RNA, 494 nt
Filed under: uncultured bacterium
Lineage: Bacteria
Description: partial 16S ribosomal RNA
Rfam family: Bacterial small subunit ribosomal RNA
Source: RNAcentral